This 204-nucleotide long non-coding RNA is filed under the name Mytilus galloprovincialis (Mediterranean mussel). The record is from RNAcentral. Lineage: Eukaryota; Metazoa; Mollusca; Bivalvia; Mytilida; Mytilidae.
AAACGACGCCAUGUUUGUUAUGUGCCUCUGCCGUCUUAAUAACCUAUAAAAAAAGAAGAGGGAAAAGAGAGCCAGAAGAUCUUCCAAAUGCAAAAAAAAAAACCCAGAAAUAUACUUCUACUGGCUCACUUCCGAAGAACAAAAAAAAAAAAAAACGCGACCCAUUAAUAUGUUUUUAAAAACGCCUUGCCCCUACCUUUUUUU